UAGGGAAUCUUCCACAAUGGACGAAAGUCUGAUGGAGCAACGCCGCGUGAGUGAAGAAGGUUUUCGGAUCGUAAAGCUCUGUUGUUGGUGAAGAAGGAUAGAGGCAGUAACUGGUCUUUAUUUGACGGUAAUCAACCAGAAAGUCACGGCUAACUACGUGCCAGCAGCCGCGGUAAUACGUAGGUGGCAAGCGUUGUCCGGAUUUAUUGGGCGUAAAGCGAGCGCAGGCGGAAUGAUAAGUCUGAUGUGAAAGCCCACGGCUCAACCGUGGAACUGCAUCGGAAACUGUCAUUCUUGAGUGCAGAAGAGGAGAGUGGAACUCCAUGUGUAGCGGUGGAAUGCGUAGAUAUAUGGAAGAACACCAGUGGCGAAGGCGGCUCUCUGGUCUGCAACUGACGCUGAGGCUCGAAAGCAUGGGUAGCGAACAGGAUUAGAUACCCUGGUAGUCCAUGCCGUAAACGAUGAGCGCUAGGUGUUGGGGACUUUCCGGUCCUCAGUGCCGCAGCAAACGCAUUAAGCGCUCCGCCUGGGGGGUACGACCGCAAGGUUGAAAC
RNAcentral lists this ribosomal RNA (554 nucleotides) under uncultured bacterium. RNAcentral's name for it is "partial 16S ribosomal RNA". It matches the Rfam family "Bacterial small subunit ribosomal RNA", at positions 355 to 900 of the family's 1533-position model. The record is from RNAcentral.